GGCAAGUUAAGUGAAGUGGUGUGACUUGUGCUUCAGAAAACCAACUGGUAAUCGUUUACAGGCCUUAGUAAACGAUUACGCGAGUGGAUUUGAGGAUUUGUAUAGAAAGUUGUGUUGAAGGAGCCAGUUCUAGUUAAAUAGGGGACCACACAUCAUAUUUGUUAUUUUUUUGAAUGUGUGCAAUGCAUCUUGGUGCAUAAUGUUGGGCGAAGAACGAAACAAAGAAUGUUUAGAAAUAAUGAUUGCCAAAAAGUAAUGUCGAACAUUGUGAUGCGAUCCACUCCGGUGAGAAAUCGUAGUUCCGGUGCAGAUCAAGCUAGGAAUCAAACACAAGAGGCAGCGGAAGAUCAAAAUCGAAGAUAACCCUAGGUUUUUGUUGAUUUGUUCGGGGUAGAUGCUAGGGUUGAGGGUUUGUGAGGUUUUAAUCGGUGAAAAGAGAGAUUUCACCAAUUGAAUCGAUGGAAUGGAAGGAAUCGAGGUUUUAAACGGUGUAAAAGGCUCAAAUAUGGUUUCAAUCGGUGAGUUGGAAGGAAAAGACCGAAAACAUUCGGUCAAAGGUGAAGAAAUGGUGAUGAAAAGUUGAAUUUAUGAAGGAGAUUCAGUUUUACCGGUGGAGGACGUUGAUCUGUGAUUAGGAAGAUGGUGCUCUCUGGAAGAAACCCUAGCUUCAAAGCAGAGAAAUGAGGUGAUGGACUCUGAAGCGUGAGAUGCAAUUGAAGAUGUGGCGUGGGAGGGCUAACGCAUUAGGAAGCACAACACGUGGCUUUUGCUGAGUGGUAUGAAGUUUCAGCGUAGGAGUGAAAAUCUGAUGAAUAUGGAAAAUGAAGGAAUGGUAAUGUGAUUGGAAGGUGGCUAAGGAAUCCCUUGGAUUCUUUAGCCUUGACUUUCAAGGAAUUAAGUCUGGAGUAUACUCAACAGAAAAUUAAUUCAUUAUCUCAAAAGUGAAUACAAGAAGUGUAGGCAUGGCUAUUUAUAGAACUAGAAGUCCCACAUGCCUAUCACAAUACAAGGUACAUAAAAGAAAUGCUAGACUAAAGAAACCUGGCUCU
This 1049-nucleotide long non-coding RNA is filed under the name Vigna radiata. Its description in RNAcentral is "long non-coding RNA (VRAD_LNC008541)". The record is from RNAcentral. Lineage: Eukaryota; Viridiplantae; Streptophyta; Magnoliopsida; Fabales; Fabaceae.